GGCGGCAGGCUUAACACAUGCAAGUCGAGCGGGCGUAGCAAUACGUCAGCGGCAGACGGGUGAGUAACGCGUGGGAACGUACCUUUUGGUUCGGAACAACUGAGGGAAACUUCAGCUAAUACCGGAUAAGCCCUAACGGGGAAAGAUUUAUCGCCGAAAGAUCGGCCCGCGUCUGAUUAGCUAGUUGGUGAGGUAACGGCUCACCAAGGCGACGAUCAGUAGCUGGUCUGAGAGGAUGAUCAGCCACACUGGGACUGAGACACGGCCCAGACUCCUACGGGAGGCAGCAGUGGGGAAUAUUGGACAAUGGGGGCAACCCUGAUCCAGCCAUGCCGCGUGAGUGAUGAAGGCCCUAGGGUUGUAAAGCUCUUUUGUGCGGGAAGAUAAUGACGGUACCGCAAGAAUAAGCCCCGGCUAACUUCGUGCCAGCAGCCGCGGUA
This 440-nucleotide ribosomal RNA is filed under the name Afipia sp. 3F5. RNAcentral's name for it is "bacterial SSU rRNA". It matches the Rfam family "Bacterial small subunit ribosomal RNA", at positions 38 to 522 of the family's 1533-position model. The record is from RNAcentral. Lineage: Bacteria; Pseudomonadati; Pseudomonadota; Alphaproteobacteria; Hyphomicrobiales; Nitrobacteraceae.